This 492-nucleotide ribosomal RNA is filed under the name uncultured bacterium. RNAcentral describes it as "partial 16S ribosomal RNA". It matches the Rfam family "Bacterial small subunit ribosomal RNA", at positions 29 to 507 of the family's 1533-position model. The record is from RNAcentral.
AGUGAACGCUGGCGGUAGGCCUAACACAUGCAAGUCGAACGGCAGCACAGUAAGAGCUUGCUCUUACGGGUGGCGAGUGGCGGACGGGUGAGGAAUACAUCGGAAUCUACUUUUUCGUGGGGGAUAACGUAGGGAAACUUACGCUAAUACCGCAUACGAUCUACGGGUGAAAGCAGGGGAUCUUCGCACCUUGCGCGAUUGAAUGAGCCGGUGGCGGGUUAGCUAAUUGGGUGGGUAAAGGCCCACCAAAGCCACGAACCGUUGCUUGUCCGAGAGGAGGGUCAGCCCAACUGGAACUGGGACACGGUCCAGGCUCCUACGGGAGGCAGCAGUGGGGAAUAUUGGCCAAUGGGGGCAAGGCUGAUCCAGCCAUACCGCGUGGGUGAAGAAGGCUUUCGGGUUGGAAAGCCCUUUUGUUGGGAAAGAAAAGCAGGAGGUUAAUACCCCGCUGUUCUGACGGUACCCAAAGAAUAAGGACCGGCUAACUUCGUG